This 1587-nucleotide ribosomal RNA is filed under the name Triticum aestivum (bread wheat). Its description in RNAcentral is "partial small subunit ribosomal RNA". The record is from RNAcentral. Lineage: Eukaryota; Viridiplantae; Streptophyta; Magnoliopsida; Poales; Poaceae.
AUGAGGCGGGUGGCGCCGGCGACCGUCGCUUCUGCCCACGGAGGUGCCCACCAAGGCCACGACGGAGACGCCCACGCCUCGCCCACCGCGCCGCACGGCUGCGCCUGCCCCUGCCGCCGCGGCAAGGCCACCGGCCACCACGGCAAUGCCGGGGGCAACGCCAGCCGCUCGCCGGAGCCCAAAGCCCCCGCCUUGCCGCGGAUCUGCAUCUGGGACUCCGCCGGCGACGGCCAAGUCCUCGAGGCCUCCGUCUCCGUGGCGUGGCCGGACGAGGCCGCCACGCCGCGCGCCAAUCUGGAGCCGCCGCCGCCGCAACGGAGGCGGCCCGGGAAGACCAUCUCCAAGGGCCACAGGAACUACCACCUCAUGCUCAACCUGCAGCUCGGCAUCAGACACGCGGUGGGGAAGUCCGCGGCGAAGCCGAUGCGGGAGCUCAGCCGGGCGGACUUUGAUCCCCGGGAGAAGUUCUGGACGCGGUUCCCGCCGGCGGGGUCCAAGACGACGCCGCCGCAUUCCUCCUCCGAGUUCCGGUGGAAGGACUACUGCCCCAUGGUCUUCAGGCACAUGAGGAAGCUGUUUGCCGUCGACCCGGCGGAUUACAUGCUUGCGAUCUGCGGGGACGACGCCUUGCAGGAGCUGUCAUCGCCGGGGAAGAGCGGGAGCUUCUUCUACCUCACGCAGGACGAGCGCUUCAUGAUCAAGACUGUCAAGAAAUCUGAAGUCAAGUUGUUGAUUCGGAUGUUGCCGAGCUACCACAAACAUGUUAAACAGUACAAGAACUCUCUCAUCACAAGGUUCUACGGUGUUCACUCUGUGAAGCCAUAUGGUGGGCAGAAGGUGCGGUUCAUCGUAAUGGGCAAUCUGUUCUGCUCGGAGCACCGGAUCCAACGCCGUUAUGACCUGAAAGGCUCCUCCUACGGUCGGAAAUCCGACAGGUUUGAAGAAGAAACCGGCGAUGCAACCACGCUCAAGGACUUGGAUCUCAAUUUUGUGUUCCGGAUGCAGCGCUCUUGGUAUAAAGAGCUUCAUGAGCAACUUAGGCGAGAUUGUGCGUUCUUGGAAUCGGAGGGCAUCAUGGAUUACAGUUUAUUGGUUGGAGUUCACUUUUGCGAUGAUAUUGUCCCUGCAUCAAAGAUGGCAUUAUCUACUUUUACUUCUUCUCCUGAAGAGCUUUCGGCCAACAUGGUGUCGGCAUGCCAGGGCAGCGUCAGCAUGCCUGAGCCAUGCCCCUCAGCUAAAGAUUUGGACAAGAUGGCCGAUCACCGUGACUUCAGGAAACCUUUGGCUAGACUGGGUGCGCACCUGCCAGCUCGAGCGGAGCGCACAUCCAUGAGCGACGUCGACCCGUUCCUCUCUGGCGGCGGGGGAUUCUCGUCGGGCCGGAGCAAGAGCAGGGGUGAAGCCUACGACGUCAUCCUCUACUUUGGGAUAAUCGACAUCCUCCAGGACUACGACAUCAGCAAGAGGCUGGAGCACGCAUACAAGUCGCUGCAGACGGACCCUAGCUCGAUCUCCGCGGUCGACCCGAGGCUCUACUCGCAGAGGUUCCGGGAUUUCAUGGGCAGGAUAUUCAUCAAGGAGUGCUAG